Molecule: small RNA, 148 nt
Filed under: Macaca mulatta (Rhesus monkey)
Lineage: Eukaryota; Metazoa; Chordata; Mammalia; Primates; Cercopithecidae
Description: Metazoan signal recognition particle RNA (ENSMMUG00000062406.1)
Source: Rfam by way of RNAcentral
GCCGGGCAUGGUGGUGCAUGCCUGUAAUCCCAGCUACUCAGGAGGCUGAGGCAGGAGAAUCGCUUGAACCCGGGAGGUGAAGGUUGUGGUGAGCCGAGAUCGCCCCAUUGCACUCCAGCCUGGGUGACAGAGUGAGACUCCGUCUCAA